GGUCGGGAGUACGAAGGUCAUACAAUACCCGUAAGGGAAAAGCCUUCUGCCGUUUCCUGUGAACGGUUUGAGAACUCCUGACCUUUUUUAU
RNAcentral lists this non-coding RNA (91 nucleotides) under Halodesulfovibrio spirochaetisodalis. Its description in RNAcentral is "sRNA-Xcc1". It matches the Rfam family "sRNA-Xcc1". Lineage: Bacteria; Pseudomonadati; Thermodesulfobacteriota; Desulfovibrionia; Desulfovibrionales; Desulfovibrionaceae. The record is from Rfam by way of RNAcentral.